AAGUCGUAACAAGGUUUCCGUAGGUGAACCUGCGGAGGGAUCAUUACACAAUAACCAGGCGGGCUGGACACCCCCCGCUGGGCACUGCUUCACGGCGUGCGCGGCGGGGCCGGCCCUGCUGAAUUAUUCACCCGUGUCUUUUGCGUACUUCUUGUUUCCUGGGUGGGCUCGCCCGCCCUCAGGACCAACCACAAACCUUUUGCAAUAGCAAUCAGCGUCAGUAACAACGUAAUUAAUUACAACUUUCAACAACGGAUCUCUUGGUUCUG
Molecule: unclassified non-coding RNA, 269 nt
Filed under: Alternaria infectoria
Lineage: Eukaryota; Fungi; Ascomycota; Dothideomycetes; Pleosporales; Pleosporaceae
Description: partial internal transcribed spacer region
Rfam family: Eukaryotic small subunit ribosomal RNA (bases 1-46)
Source: RNAcentral